GACGUAGGGGGCCAGCGUUGUUCGGAAUUACUGGGUGUAAAGGGUUCGUAGGCGGUGUGGCAAGUUGGGAGUGAAAUCUCUGGGCUCAACCCAGAGGCUGCUUCCAAAACUGCUGUGCUUGAGUGCGAGAGAGGCUCGUGGAAUUGCAGGUGUAGCGGUGAAAUGCGUAGAUAUCUGCAGGAACACCCGUGGCGAAAGCGGCGAGCUGGAUCACAACUGACGCUGAGGAACGAAAGCUAGGGGAGCAAACAG
This 252-nucleotide ribosomal RNA is filed under the name uncultured bacterium. Its description in RNAcentral is "partial 16S ribosomal RNA". It matches the Rfam family "Bacterial small subunit ribosomal RNA", at positions 524 to 775 of the family's 1533-position model. The record is from RNAcentral.